GUAUAGAUUUUAUUUAACAAUCUCCCAGUUUGCACAACUAUCCAAUCUUUGAAAUGUUUGAUUUUGUCUUCUAAUCUUUUAAUUUAUUUGAUUUGGGCAUGUUAAUAAUUUCUAAAUGCUGAUUUUCACUAAGUGAACUCUUUUUUAGUUUUACUUUUUAAUUUUAUUUACUUUCUUUAUUUUAUUUUUUAAUUUGUUAUUAUUAAUUUUUUUAUUUUAUUUUUCAGUAUAGUGGCUUGUAUCUUACUCGAGGCCGAGUUGUCUCAACUUCUGUAGCUGAAUUCAUUUUCUAUAUGAAUGAAGCGGGUAACGUGCUACCUUUCUCUCUCAAAAAAAAUAAUUUUUAAAUGCCAAAUUUUGAAUAAUUCGUUUAUAUUUAUGAAUUUAAUUAGUAUAUUUAUACAAUUUAUAUAACUAUAAAUUUAUUAAAAUAUCAAUUGAAAUAUUGUAUCAAAAGCAUCAUUAAAUGAAUGAAAGGUAUGGUAUUAAAAUAAAAUACUUUGAAGAAUUAAACAGUGAAAUCAAAAUGAUCCAUAAUUCUGACGAGUUUUACACAUUUUAUAAUUAAAUGUGCAAGCGAAUAAAUUUUUCUAGUCUUAACAUAAGGAGAGAGUUCAUGCAAAGAUAACAUUAUUCUUUUCCAUUCAAUAACUAAAAACAAAAUCCAUAUUUCAAUCUCAAGAACAAUUGAUCUGCGAACUCGCAGGUUUCAACGGGUAUGGAUUCUCCCAAGCGUAGUUAAACUUGAUCGGAUCGUCCUCAAACACC
Molecule: long non-coding RNA, 768 nt
Filed under: Ananas comosus (pineapple)
Lineage: Eukaryota; Viridiplantae; Streptophyta; Magnoliopsida; Poales; Bromeliaceae
Description: long non-coding RNA (ACOM_LNC025442)
Source: RNAcentral